GUGUGGCAUUUUCUUUCUCUGAAAUGAUAAGUGUCUUAAUACGUAACGUUUUUAAGUUUUUACUAAGUAUUAUAUUUUUUCAAAUUUUCGACAUUAAGACAUUAAUUAAUUAACUAGGUACCAAUUUUUGGGCAUUAUGAGGGUGCUAAUCCUUCCUCAUACGUAACCGACUCCCGGACCCAUUUUUCUAAAAUUCGGAGACCAAAGU
RNAcentral lists this long non-coding RNA (208 nucleotides) under Gossypium barbadense (sea-island cotton). Its description in RNAcentral is "long non-coding RNA (GBAR_LNC021704)". The record is from RNAcentral. Lineage: Eukaryota; Viridiplantae; Streptophyta; Magnoliopsida; Malvales; Malvaceae.